AUAUAUACAAAUGCUUAUAUCGAUCCCCUCCUAAGGGGCAGGUCACAGGUUCAAAUCCUGUUGGGAGCGCCA
RNAcentral lists this transfer RNA (72 nucleotides) under Vibrio vulnificus. RNAcentral describes it as "tRNA-Arg". The record is from RNAcentral. Lineage: Bacteria; Pseudomonadati; Pseudomonadota; Gammaproteobacteria; Vibrionales; Vibrionaceae.